Molecule: long non-coding RNA, 1156 nt
Filed under: Scleropages formosus (Asian bonytongue)
Lineage: Eukaryota; Metazoa; Chordata; Actinopteri; Osteoglossiformes; Osteoglossidae
Description: lncRNA (ENSSFOG00015032242.1)
Source: RNAcentral
GUCAGUUUUAGCUAUUGUGGUAGCUUUUUCUUCCGAAAGAAUUAGUCACAUUUUGGGAAAAGUUGUAUUAAUAAUCGUAUUACUGUGCAUUAGUCGUCAUACUUGCAAUAUUAACAAACCACAUUGAUUCUGGUAAAUUAAUGACACAUCCGAUAGGGUUUUACACUAUUCAGUUUGAAACUGUUUGAAUGGGCUGUAAAGCAACAUAAGAUUAUUAAUACAUUACAAUAAUAAUUACAUGAAAUUUUCAUAUGUAUGUUGCUUCACUUUUAACGUUACUUCAUUUUUAAAGUCAAUAGAGCCAACAGUUAUUGACAGAUCCAUACAAACAUCAGUGAGUGUGAAUUACGGCUAAAUUUGUCACGAGUCACAGAAAUGUUAGAAAAUUAAGUUAAAAAAAUUAAAAGCACCCUAAGAUUAAUAGUGUACUGUGUUAGGUGAAUAAAUAAUGUCCUUCUCCAGGUCUCAUUUUCCAAAACUGUAACAGCAGCUUCUGCAUUACGGAGAAAAUCAUGAACGUCAUUUUUACAGGAAGUUCAGCAGAGCUCCGGGGAUGCAUCUCCGUCCACAAGCCUCGGCUGAAGAUGAUGCACUCACGCUCUCCUGUUCCAUACUUGAGCACACGGAGGGGCCAGGCGUUAGGAGAAGAGUGUUGCCCGCUCCCCGGAGACAGAAGUGUGUGCUGCUGAAGUACCUGUGACCCUGCCAUGGCUCUGAGAAGACCAGUAGGUGCUCCUUUCUGAGACAGACAACCCCUCCCCAUCCUCUGCUGUGUAUCUAUUUUUCCUGUUUUAUUGCCGUUUGUGUUUGUUAUUUCUGUAAAGCUUCCCAUAGCAGGACGUACUUUAUAUGCUCGUAUAGGUUAGCUACACGUAGCACGGAGUUGAAAGUUCUCAGUGCUUGGCGAAGCCGCGUCAGAGGAGCUCUGCUGUUGUAGUUCUGAGAAGAGUGCUCAUGCUGCUUUAGGGUCGCACCCCCCCCCCGAGUGUGUCCUGGCUUAGCGGCAAACUGUGAACAGCAAUCGUGUGUUUUACUGCGCACAGACUGAUUGCGAGCGCCAGGUAGAAGAAGUGAGAUGUAUGAGAUGUAGGUCGCUUUGGAGAGAAGCGUCUGCUAAAUGAAUAAAUGUUAAAUGUAAAUGUGGGUGGGUGAUGCU